GGCAAUCUCAACUUCCUGAAUCUUGCAAAAAUGAAGAGUUGUCGGUCCUCACCUCCUCGAUAACCUCCUUUUGGCGAGGAAGGACAAGUAUAUCCUACCUGAGUACUUCGCAGAAGACUUUUGAAAUUUGAACACAGCCCUUUAGAAUCAGCGAUUGUUCUCUGGAAAGAGGAAAAUAUGUAAACAUUUAAAAACAAUGGUACUUAUCAUUUUAUCUAUACUUGCACAACUAGCUACAUUUGUUUUUUUUCACUUCACACAUUUACAUUGGGAUUCCACGCAGUUGGACGAGAGUCUCAUUUCAUACAAGCGCAUGCUCCUUGUCGCCUCUCCCCGAUUACCUUUGACCUUUUUCUAAAGGAGGCCAGAGAGGAAGGACUGCUAACACAGGAGCAGUCUGUUUCUCUCUCCACGGUGAAGGGGAGAGUGAUCAAUCAUGAAGAUUGUCAUUGCCAAAGGCAGGGCGAUUGUAAAGCCCAACUCUCUGUUAGAGAGGGACACUGCAAGAACGUUGAGGACACGUGAUGAGAACGUUGUGAUAACCUCAUCCCUACCCCAGUCCAAAGCUUCCCCACUAACAAGUUUCACCUCUUACACUGACAUCAGAGAUACUGAGUGCAAAUAGAAAGCUAAUACUCUUCAUUGUCCUGUCUGUACUGGACAUGUGCUUGUGGUGUGUGAUGAAUUGGAGUUUGGAUUGUCUAUAUUUGGGCUCAGUGGCUUCCCCCCCAAAAUUGACCGAUAAUAAAAAAAAUCUAAACAUUUAAAAUAACUUA
Oncorhynchus nerka (sockeye salmon) is the source of this 776-nucleotide long non-coding RNA. RefSeq lists it as uncharacterized. The record is from RefSeq and is a predicted model, not a curated record. Lineage: Eukaryota; Metazoa; Chordata; Actinopteri; Salmoniformes; Salmonidae. The transcript is spliced from 2 exons.